RNAcentral lists this ribosomal RNA (351 nucleotides) under uncultured bacterium. RNAcentral describes it as "bacterial SSU rRNA". It matches the Rfam family "Bacterial small subunit ribosomal RNA", at positions 32 to 361 of the family's 1533-position model. The record is from RNAcentral.
AAUCAACGCUGGCGGCGUGCCUCAGACAUGCAAGUCGAACGCGAAAGUCCCCUUCGGGGGACGAAGUAGAGUGGCGCACGGGUGAGUAACACGUAGGUAAUCUACCUUCGGAUGGGGAAGUAACAACCGGAAACGGUUGCUAAUACCGCAUAAUGCAGCGGCACCUAAUGGUGACAGUUGUUAAAGCGGGGGAUUNAAAGACCUCGCGUCUGAAGAGGAGCCUGCGGCGGAUUAGCAGUUGGUAAGGUAACGGCUUACCAAGGCGACGAUCCGUAACCGGCCUGAGAGGGCGGUCGGUCACACUGACACUGACAUACGGGUCAGACUCCUACGGGAGGCAGCAGUCGGGAA